Molecule: long non-coding RNA, 898 nt
Organism: Scleropages formosus (Asian bonytongue)
Lineage: Eukaryota; Metazoa; Chordata; Actinopteri; Osteoglossiformes; Osteoglossidae
Exons: 3
Source: RefSeq, a predicted model, not a curated record
UGUUGUAAUAACACAUGAGAUGGGGUUGUUGUGGUAAAAGAUUGUUUUGCGUCACUUCGGCAAGUCAGUACGCGAGUUUGAUGCGAGAGUCGAGCGGAGGCGGAGCCCACCGCCGACCCAGCGCGAGCUAUUCAGAGCGAGGGGGUCUAUUGUGAGCGAGAUUUGGGAAAAGCGAGGAACCCCGUGUCCUCGGAGCUGCAUACAGCCCGGCUCGUCCCGCCGGGGAACCCGGAGCGUGCCAAGGCGAGAUUAGAGGAGCGGGACGGACGCUGAUCGAUGACGGCCGACAGCUCGCGCUGCCCUCGCCACGCACGCGCUCCCGCCUUGCGAGCGUGUAUGAAACGGGCGGCGCGCACCUGUGCGUAUUUCUGCGGACCAUAUCGGAAUGGAAUUUAGUGUAAAGGGGCUGUGUGCUGAGAAGCACUAAAGCAGGACAUUUCAAAUGUCUCACAGAGCAACAGGUAUUUCAUUGUAUCCCGGUCCCAUUGUGGACAAGCGCUGUCUGGCUAGCCCAGCAAACUCAUCAAUAAUGGUGGCCCACUUCCGCAGCCUCCCACUGUCCCUGGCUGACCGCUGGCAGGUUGCCACAGUUGUGAGUCUAUGCCAAGUCCACCAGAACUCUUCUUCACAGCCCUGACUCCAUGAAUGAGGUGGCCGAGCCCUUCGGAGCACUGUGGAUCACAGCAAUACACCUAUAGUGCUAGGGCCUUAAUCACAGAACCCUCCAGUAAAGAGAAAUGUAAGUUUUACUCAAGCAGUUAUUAGCAUUCUUUUAUAAGAAAGUAUUUCUUUUUACCCAGUUGAUAACUAUCCUUUCCUAUUAAGGAUCUGUACAAAAAUUGUCUGUUCAAAAAUUGUUUUUGUAUGUAAAAGUUUCAAGCGGGACUUCUCAAUCCUA